GUGUGGUUCAGUGGUAGAGCAUCUGCUUUACACCCAGAAGGUCCCAGGUUCUAUCCCUGACAUCGCCCA
RNAcentral lists this transfer RNA (69 nucleotides) under Sphaerodactylus townsendi. Its description in RNAcentral is "tRNA-Val". It matches the Rfam family "tRNA". From Rfam's summary of the family: Transfer RNA (tRNA) molecules are approximately 80 nucleotides in length. Their secondary structure includes four short double-helical elements and three loops (D, anti-codon, and T loops). Lineage: Eukaryota; Metazoa; Chordata; Lepidosauria; Squamata; Sphaerodactylidae. The record is from RNAcentral.